RNAcentral lists this ribosomal RNA (449 nucleotides) under uncultured bacterium. RNAcentral describes it as "partial 16S ribosomal RNA". It matches the Rfam family "Bacterial small subunit ribosomal RNA", at positions 29 to 523 of the family's 1533-position model. The record is from RNAcentral.
AACGAACGCUGGCGGCAUGCCUAACACAUGCAAGUCGAACGAGACCUUCGGGUCUAGUGGCGCACGGGUGCGUAACGCGUGGGAAUCUGCCCCUCGGUUCGGAAUAACAGUUAGAAAUGACUGCUAAUACCGGAUGAUGACUUCGGUCCAAAGAUUUAUCGCCGAGGGAUGAGCCCGCGUAAGAUUAGGUAGUUGGUGGGGUAAAGGCCUACCAAGCCGACGAUCUUUAGCUGGUCUGAGAGGAUGAUCAGCCACACUGGGACUGAGACACGGCCCAGAAUCAUGCGGGAGGCAGCAGUGGGGAAUAUUGGACAAUGGGCGAAAGCAGGAUCCAGCAAUGCCGCGUGAGUGAUGAAGGCCUUAGGGUUGUAAGGCUCUUUUACCAGGGAUGAUAAUGACAGUACCUGGAGAAUAAGCUCCGGCUAACUCCGUGCCAGCCGCCGCCGUAA